This 113-nucleotide small RNA is filed under the name Salmonella enterica subsp. enterica serovar Muenster. RNAcentral's name for it is "partial RtT sRNA". It matches the Rfam family "RtT RNA", at positions 20 to 130 of the family's 130-position model. Rfam says of the family: This family represents a bacterial cis-regulatory element known as RtT RNA. Lineage: Bacteria; Pseudomonadati; Pseudomonadota; Gammaproteobacteria; Enterobacterales; Enterobacteriaceae. The record is from RNAcentral.
GGAUGAGAAGCUUCGACUAAGGUUCGAUUCGAGCGAAAGCGAGAAAGCGUUGCCGCAGGCAACGACCCGAAGGGCGAAGCGCGCAGCGCUGAGUAAUCCUUCCCCCACCACCA